UAGCUUAAAAGUCAAGGCCCUUCCCUUACACUGAAGAGAUAUUUGUGCAAAUCAAAUCGUUUUGAUGCCAAACAGCUAGCUUCUAACCAAAAACAACAAACAAUUAAUAAUAACCCCACAUUAAUUACCCUUAACCAAUAAAUCAUUCUACCCAUUUAGUAUGUGCGACAGAAAAAGAAACUUAAGCUAUAGAAAAAGUACCGCAAGGGAAAGCUGAAAAAGAAAUGAAACAAAUCAGUCAAGCAAAAAAAAGCAGAGACUCAUCCUCGUACCUUUUGCAUCAUGAAUUAGUUAGAUACCCCAAGCAAAGAGACCUAUAGUUUGCCCCCCCGAAACUAAGUGAGCUACUCCGAGACAGCCUAAUAAUAGGGCGAACCCGUCUCUGUGGCAAAAGAGUGGGAAGAGCUCCGAGUAGAGGUGACAAAUCUACCGAACUUAGUUAUAGCUGGUUGCCUGAGAACUGAAUAUAAGUUCAGCCUCCCGGCUUCUCUACACACUACUACAUCCAGACAGUUACUAAAGAACACCGAGAGCGUAAGUUAAAGGGGGAACAGCUCCUUUAACAUAAGAUAC
Molecule: ribosomal RNA, 573 nt
Filed under: Monopterus albus (swamp eel)
Lineage: Eukaryota; Metazoa; Chordata; Actinopteri; Synbranchiformes; Synbranchidae
Description: partial 16S ribosomal RNA
Rfam family: Bacterial large subunit ribosomal RNA (bases 249-573)
Source: RNAcentral